AGUUGAAUUUAAAAGUUCUGCUGAAUUAGAAAUCCUUUUGCAUCAUCAAAACAAAUCUCAACUACGUCAGUCAGUGAGAGAAAAGCAAGUUAGAUUCAUAAAUGAUCACACAUUUUAAGUCUAUUUUAAUGAGAUCAAUUUUUCCAAUUUUGUUUAAUGGCAAGACAGGACAUUCAGUCAAUUAGAGGACGAAGUGAUAACUUGUCUGCUCAUGAGUACAAAGACUUGUUUUUUAAGCAAUGGUGAUUAUCAGAAUGAUUCGGUAAAAAUUCUGAGUCAGAUUCCUGUAGCCAAUUUGUUUACAAAGCCUGAUAUAAAAGAGUGAUAUUUGCAAGCACAUGCUAAAGUUUUCAUUUAAAGUCUGAAAAUAUUGUUGUUGGAAGUGUUCCAGCUCAGCAUUUAAGAAUCUCUCUAAUGUUUGAUGUUUAACUUUUCCCUCAAGGUCAUAUAAUAUAAAGAAAGGAGGAGUGAGUUUUCGCUUGCCUCGCCCACGUAGAUGCUCCUGCGUCCCCCGGUUCACCCUGAGCGCCAGCCAGCCAGCCGUUUCUGUGUUGUGGCCCUGUGGAAACUUGGGAGGCCCAGGGCACUCACAAAAGCAGACCUGCCUUGUGGCCUCCCUGCUGCCUUUGCAGCACAUCCGUCCCUCCUGGCCGGGAUCGCAACCACCAUCCUUGAACAGUCGCCCCUGUUCCCAUAGUGCUCCCCGCACGUGAGAGUCCCCAGCUUCAGAGCUCAGCCCAAGUGUAUGCUCCGCUUGCCCUCCCCGUCCUGGGACCCCAGCCGCCCCCCUCAGCUCUGUCCUCCCGCAGCCCAUGAACUCCUUGAAGCAAAGACUGGAUGUCACGACUCUGCAUCUCCAGCUCCUACGCAGGGCGGCUGCCUGCGGUUCGGUUCUGUUUUCUGAGCAGAGUGGGCCGGAGCCCGGCGCUCCACAUAGCCCCACCACACAUGUGGAAGAGGCCAGCUCUCUGGUCUUCAGGCUCCAUGUUUUUUCUCUAAGUGACAGAGCCUGUUUUUAAAUAAAGCACACCUCACUGGGAGGCCCUGUAUAUGAAAACAGAUUUGGGGGGCAGUUCAGGUAGCAGAGGGAGUGGGGACCCCAACACUGCCACAUUCUCCCUCCCACCUGACCCAACAUGCGAGGACUCAGGGGCUCAUGAGUUCAGGGAAAUUAAGCUUCCCAUUUGCCCAGCCCAGGUCGGGGGUUCAGCUGUCACGGCUACCGCUGGACUGCGUGGGGCCCGGGGGCCGUGAGUGUCCACAGCCCCACCUCCGGCUGCAGCCGGGAGGCUCCGGGCCAGAGCUCCGCUGGGUGGGGAGGACGGCGCAGCAAGGCGGGUGCUGGUGCUGGCGUGGGAGCCGUGCUCUGCACCACCCGCCUCACCCCUGCAGUUUCAGUUGGGGCGGAGGGAAAGUUCCACGGCGACGACUAAUCUCGUCUUUAAAUUUCCAUCUGUAGUAACAACAACAGUGCCUAACCCUAUAUAGUGCUGCUGGGUGACGGGCACCAUCUAAGACAUGCCUCUGUCCACAUAUUACCUCAACCAGGCCUCCUACCUAUUCUCAACCCCACGUUAUAGCCACGGACACUGAGCCCAAGGCAGGUGCUUGUGGCCUGAGAGCUGGAAGUGCAGCCAGGGCAGCCCGGACCUAGCGUGCAGGCUUGUAGUCACGACGCAGAGUGGAGAUCCCAGAAAGGUCUCCAGUGAGCAUUUAUGAGGGAUUUCACGGCAGCAGAAGGGAGCCGUGGGCUCACUGCAGUCACGUUUGAGGUUUUCCAUUCACUCAGGAUUGAGGCAAAACCAGAAACAUUCAAAAACUCGAGAAGUAGGCCCCAAAGCUCCAGUCUGCAUGGGACCCCUACUCUUCUGACGGGGAUGUGGUGGUGAUAAUCACCCCAGCUCCAGCUUACCAGGAGGCUCGCAUUGUCUGUAUUUGAGGGUGCCGAUAAUUACAAGCCCAUGCCUCCCUGUGCGCCCAGCCCUCUCCUAGGCCCUGACUUAACCCUUGCCUGAGCCUAUGGGGGGAGCAGAGAACUAGGGGAGCCCUGGGGGCGGGUAACAGCCUCUGCUGCAUGCAAGGGGCCUCUGGCUCUUGUUGGUCACCGACUCUCCCAGAGGAGAGGGGAGCAGAAGACAAGGUGAGGCAGGAUGGGCCUGCGCUGCUGGCUGGCGGCCCCAGUCCAAGACCAAGAGCAGCGCUGGAGUCUCACCCGGAAAGCGUCCGCCCUCCAUGGCCGUCCGCAGCCAUGCAGGUCCUUUUCCUAGAUUUCACCUCCCACAAGGUCUGGUUGCCUCAAAGAUUCAACGUCUAAACCACCACAGACCAAGGGCCUGCCCUCCCCCAAGGACAAGCUGCUCCACUGGGAGGGCGCUGACCUCAGACCCGGGAUUCCGAGAUGCGGCUGGAACACGGGCAGCCCUGCAGGCUCGGGCAGCAUCACUGCACCGGGCGGCCAACGUGAUGCCCAGAAAUGCUUCUCCAGUUUCACAGGAAGCCCAGUCACAUCUGGGGGCCCCUGAUGCCGUCCACAGACACCUGUGCUGCGAAUGCCCUGAGCCACAAACAUGGGCUCCUGGAGGCCAGCAGGUUAUGAAAUCUCACUGCAGAGCGUUCGUCCAGAGGAACCCAUCCUUAAAUGACCUGCGAACUGGGCAGCGACGGGUGGGCGCAGAACACGUCACAGACACGUGUAGCAGAAAUGUCCCAACCAUGUGUGGAAAAACACAUAAAUGGAAGGCCUACUUGGUGGUUUGUGUGCAGCCGACUCCUUCAAAGACAUUCUGCUUCCAAGCUGGUGUUUGAAUGUGCGUUUCAGGGGGCCACCUAGGAUGUGACAACAACAGCCUCUCCCUGACCCAGAAACACCACCCCAGCUGAUCAUGGAGCCCACAGCUCUACCAAUUCUCCAGAGAUCCUGCUGGCAUGGCCUCCAAGUGUGUCCUGGGCUCGGCUGCGCUUGACUCCUCCACUGCCGUGAGCCAUCCAAACGCCAACACUCUGGCUGGGACGUCACGUUACUUAGCCUCCUCUGAGGCCUCUCUGGUGGCUCCUGCCCCACAGCAGACGGGCUGACGCUCACCAUCUCUCCUGUCCUCCUGGGCACACGCUCCUCUCUGAGCCCAAGCUCUCCUGCAGGUGGGAGUGGCCCACAGCUGCGUUUGGGCUGGAAUGGGGUGGGGUGACUGCACUCCUAGGCUGAAUUCUACAGCUCCAGGGGCACAACUCCUGUCCUGCCCUUCUGCAGCUCAGGUCAGGGGACCCAGGUGACAUAAGGGACCUUGGUGCUGAAACAUGGCUUGGAGGAACGCCACUAGUCUGGAAAACUGGUUUUGACCCACAAGUACACAGUUGGCCCUACGCUGUCGCUCACCUCCUGUACCAGCUCGAAUAGUUUGCCAAAGCAUUUCUGGAAGCUUGUCUCCUUCUCUCUCAGAUCAGCAGAGCAGACUUCCUCCAGCCUCCCUGUCUCCCUGCACCCCACAGCCAGGCACAAGCCCACUUCGCUACCUACGGGAGGACUGAGCAGGAGAGUGACACUAUGAAUGUCUUCAGUACAUGCGUUCACUCCCCCCAGGGCUUCAUCUGACGCCGGCUCAUGCUACGGACUGGGAAGGACUGAGCAUCAGCCAUACAGCUCGGAUUUCCUGACGUGCGUCCACGGCACAAAAGCCAUAGGAGGUGCUUUGGGAAAGAGAUCCUGCAAUCAUAUGUGUGUGGGAAAUGCUGCCCAUUUCUUUCUUAGAGCUUCAAGACCGUGGUGGUGAUGCACAGGAAGUGUCCAGAACUGUUACGGUUCCACAAUCUAGACGUUUCUCUAAACCUUCUGAAACGGAUGAACUUCCUUUUCUUGGCUUGUUGUGUUUGGUUCUUCACUCCUGAGGCCAUGCAAGGGAAAGUGCAAAAGACAUCAGAGGAGAGAGAACACAGAGCAAGAGAGAGGCCUGCUGGUCCUGCAAUCCCCUAGAGAAAAUCU
Delphinapterus leucas (beluga whale) is the source of this 3976-nucleotide non-coding RNA. Lineage: Eukaryota; Metazoa; Chordata; Mammalia; Artiodactyla; Monodontidae. The record is from RefSeq and is a predicted model, not a curated record.